This 287-nucleotide long non-coding RNA is filed under the name Nicotiana benthamiana. Its description in RNAcentral is "long non-coding RNA (NBEN_LNC025548)". The record is from RNAcentral. Lineage: Eukaryota; Viridiplantae; Streptophyta; Magnoliopsida; Solanales; Solanaceae.
ACAUUCUUGCGGGACCAUAUUGUUAUAUUCCUGUAUUCUGUCCACAGUAGCUAAUCUUCUAUGCGACGCCAGCCAUAGAGUAAAUUUAUACCUAGGGUGGAGUUGCGCCUGCAGUAUGAUGGCUCUCCAUUGGACUUUGCGAUAUUGAGGGAGUUGGUGAUUAUAUAACUUCUUUAUACUAAACUCAUUCCCAUUUUGAAGUUGCAGGAGUCGACUAUCCAAGUUCCCCUGAAGGGUUGUGAUGCCAAGUAUUAGUUCUCUCGAUUCAAAGAUUUUCCUGAUUGCCC